CUAUAGCCCUGAUGGCAGUAAAAAUCCUCCCGUUUUUCAGGGAGAUUGCAACGUACAGCAGGAAAUAGC
RNAcentral lists this small RNA (69 nucleotides) under Flavobacterium fryxellicola. RNAcentral's name for it is "Flavo-1 RNA". It matches the Rfam family "Flavo-1 RNA". Lineage: Bacteria; Pseudomonadati; Bacteroidota; Flavobacteriia; Flavobacteriales; Flavobacteriaceae. The record is from RNAcentral.